Molecule: non-coding RNA, 21 nt
Filed under: Caenorhabditis elegans
Lineage: Eukaryota; Metazoa; Nematoda; Chromadorea; Rhabditida; Rhabditidae
Source: RNAcentral
UCCAGUUCGCCUACAUGUCCA